This is a long non-coding RNA of Epinephelus moara (kelp grouper), 645 nucleotides long. RefSeq lists it as uncharacterized. The transcript has 3 exons. NCBI's taxonomy places the organism in Eukaryota, Metazoa, Chordata, Actinopteri, Perciformes, Serranidae. The record is from RefSeq and is a predicted model, not a curated record.
CAACGCACCAUGUAGCAGAACUUCAAGAUGCUUCGUCAGAGGAAUGGACUGUCCCUUCAGUCUCCGCUCAGACCCCUCAGUGUGUUGGUUUUCCAUCUUGUCCUCACACACUCUGUGACAGAUAAGUGUUACUACUAAGUGACAUAAUCUACACCUUCAGGUGGAUGAAAGUUGGGGAAGAGUAAACAUUUCUCAUGCUUUAGGUCAGUGUUGUUGCAACACGUUCUCAUCCCAAGUCAUCACAUAUCACAAGCUAAGUAUCCAACAUCAUCUGCGUAUCCAUCAGUCCAUGUAUCAUCCUGACACAAUCUGACCAAACUGCAGCGUAUCAUGACACAACAAAAGGUUCAGUUUGGCCACAUUGUAAACUGAUGCCACCCUGCAACGUAUCAUACCACCACUAGUUUUUGGCGUUGGUGUAUGACAUGCAAAUGACAGACUUUGGAAUGAGAAUGGGCUGGGAGCAAUGUCCUGAUGACCUGCUGCUGUCAAUUCACAGUUUGGGAUCAGUUCCAUCCAUCCAUCCAUCCAUCCAUCCAUCCAUCCAUCCAUCCAUCCAUCCAUCCAUCCAUCCAUCAUCAUGGUGUACAAGCUCUUGUUGAGCUGAGCAGAUUUAAGUAGUUCUUACUGCAGGAAUGAAUAAAC